GGGGAUGACGUCAAGUCAUCAUGGCCCUUACGGCCAGGGCUACACACGUACUACAAUGGUCGGUACAGAGGGUUGCGAUACCGCGAGGUGGAGCUAAUCCCAGAAAGCCGAUCCCAGUCCGGAUUGGAGUCUGCAACUCGACUCCAUGAAGUCGGAAUCGCUAGUAAUCGCAGAUCAGCUAUGCUGCGGUGAAUACGUUCCCGGGCCUUGUACACACCGCCCGUCACACCAUGGGAGUGAGCUGCUCCAGAAGCCGUUAGUCUAACCGCAAGGGGGACGACGACCACGGAGUGGUUCAUGACUGGGGUGAAGUCGUAACAAGGUAGCCGUAUCGGAAGGUGCGGCUGGAUCACCUCCUUU
RNAcentral lists this ribosomal RNA (360 nucleotides) under Luteibacter sp. 3190. RNAcentral describes it as "bacterial SSU rRNA". It matches the Rfam family "Bacterial small subunit ribosomal RNA", at positions 1175 to 1533 of the family's 1533-position model. Lineage: Bacteria; Pseudomonadati; Pseudomonadota; Gammaproteobacteria; Lysobacterales; Rhodanobacteraceae. The record is from RNAcentral.